This is a long non-coding RNA of Drosophila gunungcola (fruit fly), 515 nucleotides long. RefSeq lists it as uncharacterized. The transcript is spliced from 2 exons. NCBI's taxonomy places the organism in Eukaryota, Metazoa, Arthropoda, Insecta, Diptera, Drosophilidae. The record is from RefSeq and is a predicted model, not a curated record.
GUAAUUCCCCAAUUUUUCUCAUACAGUAGACACUCGCUAGCAAGUAAUAGUACUCAACCUGAUAAGUCAAUACCCGUAAAUGACUUUAAAAAUGGUGUUGAAUAUAAAAAAGUGAACUGAAAACAUGUUUUGUACUGUCAAUUAACCGAAUUAGAAUAUCUGAUCGAGUCAUCAGCCUGACCCUGAUAUAGAACACCUCUCAUUUCCCAUCGGGUAACGACUUCCCCAGACUCCAGAAUGUUUGUCCAAUCAAUGAUCAUGUGCGAAAUCAAUCACCGGGAUGUUUUGCAUUGCCCACUAUAAAUAUUGUUGGUCGGCAGUUGGGGAUCACAGUUUACGGACAACAACGCUUCUAUCCAGAACACGACCGGAAAAAGUUGCUAAUUUGGGAGAAAAAUAUAAAAACCCAAGUACAUCCCCGUGAAAUUUCGCAAAUAAGGUUAACAAUGGCAAAGUUUCUAUCCAUCUUUUUGUGUCUGGUUAUUAUUGGAUCUAUAACUGCAGGACCUAUAGAA